This 253-nucleotide ribosomal RNA is filed under the name uncultured bacterium. RNAcentral describes it as "partial 16S ribosomal RNA". It matches the Rfam family "Bacterial small subunit ribosomal RNA", at positions 524 to 776 of the family's 1533-position model. The record is from RNAcentral.
UACGUAGGGGGCAAGCGUUGUCCGGAAUCAUUGGGCGUAAAGCGCGCGUAGGCGGCCCGGUAAGUCCGCUGUAAAAGUCCAGGGCUCAACCCUGGAAAGCCGGUGGAUACUGUCGGGCUAGAGUCCGGAAGAGGCGAGUGGAAUUCCUGGUGUAGCGGUGGAAUGCGCAGAUAUCAGGAGGAACACCAAUGGCGAAGGCAGCUCGCUGGGACGUUACUGACGCUGAGACGCGAAAGCGUGGGGAGCAAACAGG